Megalobrama amblycephala (Wuchang bream) is the source of this 2576-nucleotide long non-coding RNA. RefSeq lists it as uncharacterized. The transcript is spliced from 2 exons. The record is from RefSeq and is a predicted model, not a curated record. Lineage: Eukaryota; Metazoa; Chordata; Actinopteri; Cypriniformes; Xenocyprididae.
CACACACACACACACACACACAUAUAUAUAUAUAUAUAUAUAUAUAACUUUAAGGUUGAACCACUGUAGUCACAUGGACUAUUUUAACAAUGUCUUUAAUAUGUUCUGGAUCUUGAAUGACAGUAAUUACGUUGCUUUCAAGGGGGGAUAAUCUUGGAUUUCAUCAAAAAUAUCUUAAUUUGUGUUCCAAAGAUGAAAGAAGGUCUUACGGGUUUGGAACAACAUGAGGGUGAGUAAUUAAUGACAAAAAUGUCAUUAUUGGGUGAACUAACCCUUUUAUAAACAAAACUGCAUGUGUCUUUUGGCGUCCAUGCCCGGUCUAAAAUAGUCAGAGUAUAAACACUUAGUGAUUCAGGAUAUAUAAGACAAAAACACAGUUUGAAAGAUGGAUUCAUGAUGUACUUGCUAAUUAUAUACAUUUUGGAAAAAAAAAAAAAAGCUACACAGUGUACCUUUAAGUUAAAUAUUAAUCCUUUGUUUGUGUGUGGCAAAAAGAAAGAAAGAAAGAAAAAAAAAAGCCAGAGGUCAGUAAGAGAAAGGCACCUUGUGGUAUCUUCACUGAGAGACACAAAACCACUGUCCACUUUCGUUUUCGUUCAUGAUUCUUUGCUGGUGGAAUAAUCUUCCCAACCCUAACACUGAAUCACUGACAAUUUAAGAAACAGCAUAGGCUACUCAUCUCUUUCGUCAGCACUUAACAGCACCCUGCUGCAUGAAUGAAUGAAUAAAUAAAUAAAAUAUUCCCAUAUGCUUUCACUUUUCCUUAAUCUCUCCCUGUUCUAGUUUAUACUAUUGUAAACAAUGUCUGAAACUUUAUUGUUUCUUUAUUGUGCCAGAGGUUUUCUCAGGUUUUAGGUGGGAUGACAGAAACUUAAUUGCUCUCAUUUCUUCUUUUUGGCUUAUCCGUCAUGUCCACAAGACUGAAUUGUUAUGUGAUAAAUCACAUGAUUCAGAAACCCUGCAAUCCCUCACAAGCCAAGUUUCGUUUCUGUGAAAACAUCGACUGUAAUCAUGUGUCUGGACCGGAUUGGCUGCUGAUUUGUUUGUUCUUUUUAUGAGGCGUGAACAGUUUCUGCAGGAAGAGUAUAAAUAUCAGAUGAAGAUCUAUUUCUGAAUUUACUGCACUACGCUGCUCUGAAGCUUAAACAAAUCAUCAGAAUGAUCUUUUCCGAGGGGAGUGAUGAAGGGGAUGAUGAAGACAAUGAUGAAGAAGAUGAUGGAGGUGCUGGAGUAAGUGUCUGCUGCCAAGGGUAGACAACUGCUCCAGACCUUGAUGCAGCGUGUCGAGAAAGACCCAAUAGUACGCUGGAUCCAUGAACUGUGUGUAUUUGCUGACACAAGCAAGCAGCAGCCAAAGAAACACACAGCUUCUUUUGUGACAAAUGUCACAACCCAAGCACCUCCCGCGCCAUGUGUGUCCAUGGCAAACCUGACACGUAGACCAUGAUUUCUCCAUGGGAACGAUGGACCUCGCAACUUUCCCGCUGUUCAGUGGCAGCACCAUCGGUUUUCUUCAGAACGGCUCUGUUUUUGUGUCUGUUUGUGCAACCCUGAAGAAACCAUGGAGAGAAGACUGAAAUAUACAUAGAGAGGUGAUGACCUCAUGGGUAAAGAGCUGCUGUUCCAGAGGUUGGAAGAUGUGAGCCAGUUAUUUCUGUCAUCACAAUCGUCCUCAAUCACCAUUGUGCCGCCGAGCAACGCACGUGACUCCAAGUUAUUUCAGCAGAACUGACUGUUUUUUUUUGCAACAGGUCUACAGUAGUCAACCAUCCAUUAAAAUACAAACAGAGAUGGGCUGGAUGGGCAUUUUGAAAUGUACUAAUGGAUACAUGUUGCUCACAUUUAUUUAUUGGGAGGUCAAUGCCCCUUUGAAGCCCAGGUGUAUUUGUUGUAAGGAUAUAUUCAGACUAUGGCUGCUUGGUCCAAAGCUCUCCAGUAUAACUAUAGCAGAAGGUUUCUGGAGCAGCGGAUCAGGGUCAGAGGUAAAAGCCCACUGUUUUAUGUUAUUUUUUUCUUUUCAUUUGAAUUCUUUUACCUCACUUGAUGCCACGUCAACGCCACUCGGCUAUAGAGAGCAUGCUCAGAGCGAGACGACAUGUUCACCAGGAUAGGGUUCACAGGCACGACGGUUCUGCGCGUCGUGCUGACUUGGUUGAAUCCACUGGUUCAGAUACCUUACUAACACUACACAAUAUGACACACUGCUAAAUCUCACGCACAGGUUUUCUCGCAGUGCUGUUGAACAAAAGUUACAUAACAAAUGUAACGUACCUGUAAUGAGAAGUAAUCUCAUACAGAACAUGGUCCGAAUAAAAGGACCUGGUCUAGCCAGAAAUGAAGCCCAAUAGAUGUAACAACAUCAGAGGCCCUCAUAUCCUAUUGAGCACUCAUUAGAUUCUUGGUUAUGUGGCAAGGGGAUCAUUAGCAGGUGAUAUAUUUAGUUUUUACAAUGAUGUUUUUUAGAAUGUCAUGAUGCAGAUGGAUUUCUGUGCAUAUGUCUGCCUGAAUGCAUCACUUUCUAAUGAGCUACACGUCUAACUUCCCCUAAAUAAAGAAUGUUUUGAAAAAAAAAAAAA